GACGAACGCUGGCGGCGUGCUUAACACAUGCAAGUCGAGCGAUGAAGCACCUUCGGGUGUGAAUUAGCGGCGAACGGGUGAGGAACACGUGAGAAAUCUGCCUUCAACUCUGGGAUAACUCCGGGAAACCGGGCUAAUACCGGAUAUGAGCCCUGAUCGCAUGAUCGGGGCUGGAAAGUUUUUCGGUAGAAGAUGACCUCGCGGCCUAUCAGCUUGUUGGUGAGGUAAUGGCUCACCAAGGCGACGACGGGUAGCCGGCCUGAGAGGGCGACCGGCCACACUGGGACUGAGACACGGCCCAGACUCCUACGGGAGGCAGCAGUGGGGAAUAUUGGGCAAUGGAGGAAACUCUGACCCAGCGACGCCGCGUGCGGGAUGAAGGCCUUCGGUUGUAACCGCUUCAGUAGGAAGAAGCGAAAGUGACGGUACCUACAGAAGAAGCACCGGCUAACUAUGUG
Molecule: ribosomal RNA, 458 nt
Filed under: uncultured bacterium
Lineage: Bacteria
Description: bacterial SSU rRNA
Rfam family: Bacterial small subunit ribosomal RNA
Source: RNAcentral